RNAcentral lists this ribosomal RNA (444 nucleotides) under uncultured bacterium. RNAcentral's name for it is "bacterial SSU rRNA". It matches the Rfam family "Bacterial small subunit ribosomal RNA", at positions 505 to 949 of the family's 1533-position model. The record is from RNAcentral.
GUGCAGCAGCCGCGGUAAUACGGAGGGUGCGAGCGUUAAUCGGAAUGACUGGGCGUAAAGGGCAUGUAGGCGGAUAAUUAAGUUAGGUGUGAAAGCCCUGGGCUCAACCUAGGAAUUGCAUUUAAAACUGGUUAACUAGAGUAUUGUAGAGGAAGGUAGAAUUCCACGUGUAGCGGUGAAAUGCGUAGAGAUGUGGAGGAAUACCGGUGGCGAAGGCGGCUCUCUGGUCUGUAACUGACGCUGAGGUUCGAAAGCAUGGGUAGCGAACAGGAUUAGAUACCCUGGUAGUCCACGCUGUAAACGAUGUCGAUUUGGAGUUUGUUGCCUAGAGUGAUGGGCUCCGAAGCUAACGCGAUAAAUCGACCGCCUGGGGAGUACGGCCGCAAGGUUAAAACUCAAAUGAAUUGACGGGGGCCCGCACAAGCGGUGGAGCAUGUGGUUUAA